AGCCACUGUGUACAAGUUCUGUUCCUGUUUUUCCCAUCUUAAGUCUCUACUUACAAGUUCUGUUCCUGUUUUCCCAUCUCAAGCCACUGCGUACAAGUUCUGUUCGUGUUUUCCAAUCUCAAGCCACUGUGUACAAGUUCUGUUCGUGUUUUCCCAUCUUAAGUCUCUAAGUCUCUAAGUUCUGUUUCUGUUUUCCCAGCUCAAGCCUCUGCUUACAAUUUCUGU
Non-coding RNA from Biomphalaria pfeifferi, 225 nucleotides. Lineage: Eukaryota; Metazoa; Mollusca; Gastropoda; Planorbidae. The record is from the annotation of a GenBank genome assembly.